AUGAAUGGAAGAAAAAAAAACUGUCACGAAAUAUAAAAUUUCGCGUUUUUGGCGGGAAAAGACGAAAUUUUUCGGAAAACACUUCUCGCGACAGUUAUUAACUGUCAUAGAAUGUUAGGGUUAAAAUUUUUUUCUUUUUUCCUUCUCUUUUCUUUUUCCUUUUUCUUUCUUUUCCCUAUUUCCUUCUUCCUCCCCGUGCGUCCUUCCCCUUCUCCCCAGCCGCAACCGCCGCGCCUCUUCUCCUUCCUCCCGUACGCCGCGACGACUCCACCGUCUCCUUCUCCCUUCCCUUCCGUUUCCUUCCCACCGCAGCCCAGCCGCAGCCAGCCGUCUUUCUCUUCCCUUUUCUUCCCGCCGCAGCCCAGCCGUAGCCCGCGAUCUGCCGUCUCCAUCUCCGGUUCGCGAAGCAACCUUGCAGCAGUCGUCCGCGCGCCGAUCUGCCGUCUCCAUCGCCGGUUCUGUCUUCGUCGAAGCCCGAGCCGCCGUGUGAACCAGUAACCGCCACGUUCGCCGCUCACAACCGCCGGUCGUCGAUCCACAUUCUGUUUUCCUCUUCAUUCAAUUUCCCUUGAAAAAACCCUCACCCAUCGGAUUUCAAGACAAUCGAAGCAACCUCAAGAGGGAAAUCAAGACAAUCAAGCCGUCCCGAUGGGUGGUGCCUGUUUUUGAUUGGUUGCAACGCGAAGGGGCUUUGGCUUUGGGCCCUGAAGGCCCUUUGGUUGAGGAAUUUUGGGAUAAUGUUAGAAGAUACGCAAUUUACGCCCUUACUGUGAGUACCGGUGCUAUAUAUACUAUUCUUCACUUUAUUUUGGAACUGAUUUUUGGGGGUGCCAUUCUCCAAGGUUUGUGAAGAGGCAUUCACCAUUUACCUAUAUUAUUGUGGACAAUAAAACGUAAGUAUUUGGAUUUCCAUGCUCCUCCUCUGUAAUUGAGUGUAAAGGUCGUCUUGUUUUUGGCUUGUUUUGGUUUUCAUCUUGCCCCUGUAUAUUCUUUAUCUCUUUUUUUUCGUUACUGGUGUUAAACUUUACUCUAAAAAAAUAUGGACGGUGUUGGAACUUUGGAAAAAUGCAAAUGCAGUAUCCUUUGAUUUUGAUUGCAUAAUUUGGAUUUAGUGAUAAUCAUUGAGGUAGCCUUGCACCGUUUGGAUUUUGAUAGCAUAUUGCAAAUGUGUGUAUUUUGUGGCGAAAAAUCUAUGUGAGAAUAUGUAUGGUUAUUCUCUAUUGUCCUUCAUUUUUUAUGUUUGUUGUCCUUCAAUUUUAGAAAUUUGUUAUUUUCUUAGAAGAUCAUCAUUGCUAAACAUAACUUUAUUUUUUAGAAGAUCAUCAUUGAUAAACAUCAUCGGCCAUGUUUAUGAUCAUAGAAAACUUAUCUUCUGAUGCAUGCUAAUAUGAUUCUUGUACCAAGAUUUUCAAUAUCUUCAACUCAUGUAGCAUUUUUUUUAUGUGAGAUCUUAAGACCCAGAUAUGCAAGCAGCUUUAACUCUCCUUCAAACGCUGUUUGAUCGUUUGUAUGUUGACAAGCAAAUGCAAUGGGUCUUAAACCCUUUUCUUCCAUUUCUCUAAUCUUCUUUUCCAGGUUUUGCAUGAAUAUGAUCUACUAUAGUGUUGAAGCUACCAAGUAAGUGAUUAUAUUUACACAACAAUUAUGAGGGUCUUUUUACAACGAGUUAUAUUGUUAUGUUUAAUGUUACUCUUAUGAGUUUUUAUUGAUAUGUUUAAUAUUACUUUGUUGCUUCAUACCCAAGUUGUUGAUUCGUAUCUCUCUAUUGUUUGUCCCUAUUUUGAUAUUGAUUUUUCCUUUGUUUUUUUGUUUAUUACCUAAAUUGUGCUAUUUGCUAUCAUUUUCCUUCUUUUAAAUAUUAUUUGGCAUUUGACCUUUUGAUUUUGUUUGGGCACUUUUGGUGUCCUAUUUGUUUUAGUUUUGUUAUAAAACAGAAGUUUUGACUUCUAUGGUCAACAUGAAAGAUGAAUACAAAGGUCGUUGGUUCAUAAAGCUAAGGUUUGUUCAACUAGUUAUGAAUGUUGAUAUAUUGUUCUCGUAGGAUCAAUUGAUUUUGGAUGAUUAUCUGCUUUUGGGUUCUUAUAAAAUGAUUUGUACUAGUCAAAAAUGAUUUUUAAUCCUCUGGAGACCACUCUCCAACAUUCUCUUUUUUUGUGUCUUAAACAGCUAAAUUGAGAUAUUGAGAGUGUUGUUUUUGGCGACAGAUUAGAGCGAUUUUCAGGUGAGUUUCAGUUGUGUGUGUUCUGUUUUAGUUGUGGGUUCUUUUAGGAUUCUUCUAACCUGUGCACAUUUUUAGCAGUUAGUAUGAUAAGCAUACUAUCUAUACACCUAAAACCCAUUGUACUAUUUAUUAUAUUGACGUAUUCAAUAUUGAUUGUGGACUGUGUAUUCUAGAGAGAAAGAGUGAGUUGGGUAUGUUUUUGGUAUGUGUAUCCUAGAGAGAAAGAGUAGCAGUAUGUUUUUGUUUGCUGUGUUUGCCUAAUAUAGUCCUCAUGGUCUUCUCUUUUCAUUUCAUGGAAUCAAGUGUUGAAGUUCUUGUUUGUGUUCUGUAUUUUGUUGAGACGAUGAUUUAGUUAUUCAUUGACUGUACGUAUGUGUUAUGGAUUCUUUGUAGGUUCAACUGGAGUCGACAAGUUCAUGAGUUUUGUUUCAAAUAUCAUUUCCAGAAACGAACAUUCUUGGUUGGUCCAGUCAAAUAUAUUCGAAUGCUAUUUAAGAUAUUUUUUGAUUAAGGGUUAGUAUUUCGUACAUGUGGAUUACUGAAACUUGUAUUAAGAUGUACAAAUAUUAUAAAUCGUAUUAUAGUGUAUAAAUAUUAAAGUGUUGGCUAUUUUCUUGUACAUUGGUGUGAAACUUGUAUAAUUUCAAAUUUGUCAUUCUCAGCUACAUUAUUGUCAUUCUAAUGGUUCGUGUAA
Cucumis sativus (cucumber) is the source of this 2915-nucleotide long non-coding RNA. RefSeq lists it as uncharacterized. The transcript has 3 exons. The record is from RefSeq and is a predicted model, not a curated record. Lineage: Eukaryota; Viridiplantae; Streptophyta; Magnoliopsida; Cucurbitales; Cucurbitaceae.